AUUGAACGCUGGCGGCAGGCCUAACACAUGCAAGUCGAACGAGUGGCGGAAGGGUGAGUAAUGUCUGGGAAACUGCCUGAUGGAGGGGGAUAACUACUGGAAACGGUAGCUAAUAACGCAUACCAUCGGAUGUGCCCAGCUGGGAUUAGCUAGUAGGUGGGGUAAAGGCUCAACUAGGCGACGAUCCCUAGCUGGUCUGAGAGGAUGACCGGCCACAGUGUAACUGAGUCACGGUACAGACGCCUACGGGAUGCAUCAGUGGGGAAUAUUGCACAUUGGGCGAAAGCCUGAUGCAGCCAUGCCGCGUGUAUGAAGAAGGCCUUCGGGUUGUAAAGUACUUUCAGCGGGGAGGCGUUACCCGCAGAAGAAGCACCGGCUAACUCCGUGCCAGCAGCCGCGGUAAUUC
RNAcentral lists this ribosomal RNA (406 nucleotides) under uncultured bacterium. RNAcentral's name for it is "partial 16S ribosomal RNA". It matches the Rfam family "Bacterial small subunit ribosomal RNA", at positions 30 to 526 of the family's 1533-position model. The record is from RNAcentral.